UCCCUGGAGUACUAGUGGUUAGGCCACGGCACUUUCACAGCCAAGGCCCAUGUUCGAGUCCUGGCCAGGGAA
This is a non-coding RNA of Pangasianodon gigas (Mekong giant catfish), 72 nucleotides long. The record is from the annotation of a GenBank genome assembly. Lineage: Eukaryota; Metazoa; Chordata; Actinopteri; Siluriformes; Pangasiidae.